GAAAACAAAGAAACGAAAGAAAGAAAAAGAGAAGCUAUUCUUUGAACACAAUUGGAGCGCGCUUCCUGAGAUCGUUGAGGUUCCAAUUUCGUAUGCUAAAUUGGUCCACCGUUCCGUCGAGUUUUUUGCUAUAUAAGUUUUCUGCUCUCAAGUGUUUUCAGAUUUCAUUUGGCAAAAUAUAUCUAAGGUCCGUUUCUUUUCUUGGUGCUGUAUAAUUUAGUGAUAUUUGUGCUUUAUUUAAUCGUAGUCUCAUGUUUAGUUAUAAUAUUACUUUCUAUUUACCAUAUUUUGGAUAAUCUUGCGGUGGAAGAAAAAAAUGAGAUAUGUGUUGCGCUCAUUCACACUUGCUUGGCCAGUAUAUUUUCAUGUGAUGUUUUGUUUGUUUCUUGUAAAUUGAAAAGCAUGGUGUUUUGUUAGUUUCCUUUCCCAGUACUUGUUCUGGUUUUUUCAUGUCGUUUUUAUUAUAUUUUUCUUAAACUGUAAGUUCUUAUGUAAAUUGACCAAAAAGGAGAGAUUGCUGAUUUUUUUUUUUGUGAUGCCUUUCUCUUUAAAGCGCAAACGUGAAAGGUUGAAACAAAUUUUGGAGUCUGAACCGAUCACAUAAAUAAACUAGAUGAACAUGUAUAUUUUUUUCUCUUAAUGUAAUUAGUUAAAGUACCGUUUUCAUUUUUCUUAGUUAAUAAGCUUUCAAUUUAUCUAGAUAUGGUUUAAACUUAGAAAUAUGCUAAUGAAUCCAAUAAGUGGGCUGCCGGAAGGUUUCUUUUUGGAAAAUAACUCACAAAUGAUCCUAAUUUUCUUUAGGCCGAUUUAGAUUAGUAUUGCGAUUAUGUAUAUGUUCGCGUAAAAUAAUUACAAAUUUAAUUUAUAAAACUGACUCGAGGAAUGCGUUCGCGCAACCUCAACCAAACUUUUCUUAAUAAAGUAAAUAAAAAAUUAUUUAAUUGUGGACACGUUCGCGUGACACAAUUUUUGACGCGCUAAAAGAAAAGAGUAUAUGUACGCGUAACUCAAUUUUUUAAUUCCAAAUAAUUCAAGUGCUUUAAAAGCGUUAAAAAGAUAAUUGCACAUAGGUCUUUAAAAUGAGUAGCUAAACAAUUUAAGCCAAGUAAUAAUCACUAAGCGACCGUGCUAGAACCGCGGAGCCCGGGAGUGCCUAACACCUUCUCCCGAGUUAAUAGAAUUCCUUAUCUAGAAUUUGUGAUUUGCAGGUUUUUUUUAUAAAAAAAAUAAAAUUUUCCUCGAUUUGGUAUUUUAAAAUAAACCGGUGACUUGGGACACCAUAUAAACUAUUCCAAGUGGCGACUCUAAUAAAUAAAAUAUUUCCAUUUCGAAUAAUGUCACUUUAAUAAGAAAAACUCCCCAAUCCCCCUUAGGGUGUAAAAAGGAGGUGUGACACAUACCAUGGUCCUGGGCAACAAAAUCAAUGGAGGCCAAACCCGCAAGGGCAAGGCAAACAACAUGGAGAAAUGAGCAAGGUAAUUCUCAACAUGGAAAUUGGAACAACAACAACAACUUUGCAAACCGGAGCUCCAGCCCAUAUGUUCCCCCGAAAGGUCAUUAUGCAAAUCAAGGGUCGUCAAGUGAUUCGAAGUUAGAAAGCAUGUUUGAGAGAGUUUUGCGAAAUCAAGAAUAGUCAGACGUAUCUACAAGAAACAUGACUGAGAUGGUUGGCUCCCAUAGCGCAUCUAUCUAAAAAGUAGAGAUGCAAAUGAGAGACCUUUCACGAGAGCAAAUACCAAAGAAAAAAGGGCAACUUCGUAGUGAUACCAUUGCGAACCCGAAGAGUGGCAGAGGUAGCUCGACCUCCCACGUCAUGAAGAUAACUACUAGAAGUGGGAAGGUUCUACAAGGUGACAUUGAGCAAGAGGUUGUCGCGGAAGAAGCCGAACAAGAAAUUGAAGCCGAAGAGCAAAGGGUUGUAGAAGUUGAGAGGGCGCGGGAAAAAGAAGAAGUUCAAGAAGUGGUCAAAGAAGUGGUGAAGGAAAAGGAAAAAGAGAAGGAGACAUCAAAACUCCAACUCCUAUUUUUAGACCUCCUCCACCGUUUCCUCAAAGACUUGUAUGAAGGAUUGAAGAUAGCAAGCUUGAAAAAUUAUAUGAUAUCCUUAAGCAAUUGUCAAUUAACAUUCCAUUCUUGGAGGCUUUCCAAGAAAUGUCAGGGUUUGCCAAAUAUUUGAAGGAUUUGAUCACCAAAAAGAGGACCACAAAGAAUGAGGUGGUGAAUAUGACUCACCAGGUUAGCUCUGUAAUUGUCAGGAGCCUUAUCCAAAAGAAAGAGGACCCAGGAGCAUUUAACAUUCCAUGAUCUAUCGGAGAGCGAGACUUUGCUAGAGCCCUUUGUAACAAUGGGGAUAGUAUCAACUUGAUGCCACUUACCAUCUACAAGCGGGAUUAGGGAUGCCAAGGCCAACAAGCAUUAUGCAACAAAUGGCCGAUCGAUCAAUUAAGCAACGGGUAGGAAUUGUUGAUGAUGUGAUUGUGAAAGUCGGUGAAUUCCAUUUGCCUGCCAACUUUGUGAUUCUAGAUUUUACAAUGGAUAAAGAUAUCCCCAUCAUCUUGGGACGACCAUGCUUGGCAGCCGGAAGAGAACUUAAGGAUUCGGAAGGACAUGAGAUCAAAUUCCGGGUGAAUGACAAAGAAGUCACCUUCCAAUCUUGCAAGGGUAUGAAGUUGCCCCCUAAAUAUGAGAGCAUCUCCGAGAUGGAGGUGGUUGAUGAGAUUGAAGAUGCCGUUGAAGUAAAAUUGGAAGAACAAUGUCUUGGUGAGGCAUUGGCGGCAAUCUUAGUGAAUUUUGAUGGUGAGGACAUGGCGGGAUACAUGGAGUCGGUGAAUGCAUUGGAGGGUCUUGGAUCCUACACUUAUGCUAUGGCAAAGCUCUCUCUUGACAUGGAAUAUAGAGCCACACCUCCCGCUAAGCCAUCCAUAUUGAACCACCGCAAUUAGAGCUCAAGCCUCUCCCGACGCAUUUAAGGUAUAAAUUCUUAGGCUCUAAUAACACCUUACCCGUAAUCGUUUCAUCUUCUUUGAAUGAUUUGCAGGUAGACAGGUUGUUGGAGGUUUUGAGAGACCACGGGAAGGUUAUUGGAUGGACAAUCGCAGAAAUCCGUGGGAUUCCCAUGAGGAUUCAAAAUCCAAUUGCAGAGCAACACAAAGCCAAGCAUUGAGCAUCAAAGACGAUUGAACUCGUAAAUGCAGAAGGUGGUGAAAAAGGAGAUCACUGAGAGACCACAAACAGGCUAUUGGAUGGACAAUUGCAGACAUCCAUGGGAUUCCCGCGGAGAUUUGUGAAUACGGAAUCCAACUAGCAAUACAAAGCCAAGCAUUAAGCAUUAGAGACGGUUGAACCCGUCAAUGCAGGAGGUACUGAAAAAAGGAGAUCAUAAAGUGAUUAGAUGCCGGAGUAGAGUACCCUAUUGCGGAUAGUUCAUGGGUGAGCCCAGUUCAGUGUGUGCCCAAAAAUGGGGGUUUGACCGUGAUAGAAAAUGAGAAAAAUGAGCUCAUCCCAACACGAAGGAUGACCAGAUGGCGAGUGUGCAUGGACUAUCGAAAGCUAAAUAGUUCAACAUGAAAAGACCAUUCCCCUAUGCCUUUUAUUGAUCAAAUGCUUGAUCGGCUAGCGGGAAGGUCAUUCUAUUGCUUUCUCGAUGGGUAUUCUGGAUAUAAUCAAAUCAAAACAUCGCAUUGGAGGAUCAGGAAAAGACCAUAUUCACUUGUUCAUAUGGCACAUUUGCUUUUAGCCGAAUGCCAUUUGGCUUGUGUAAUGUGUCGGCUACUUUUUAACGAUGUAUGAUGUCCAUUUUCUGGGACAUGGUUGAAUAUAUUCUUGUGGUAUUCAUGGAUGACUUCUCUGUAGUUGGGGACUCAUUUGAGCAUUGUCUUGGAAAUCUCAAGCAAGUGCUUAAAAGAUGCGAAGAGACAAAUCUCGUGCUAAAUUGGUAGAAAUGUCACUUCAUGGUCGACGAAGACAUUGUGCUAGGGCACAAAAAUUCAAAGAAGGGUGUUGAAGUUGACUGGGCGAAGAUUGAUAUAAUCUCUAAGCUUGCUCCACCAACUACCAUAAAGGGUGUUAGAAGUUUUCCAGGGCAUGGCAGGUUUUACCGGCGCUUCAUCAAAGACUUCUCAAAGAUCGCUAACCCCAUAUGAAAGCUCCUCGAGAAGGAUGCUAAAUUUGUAUUUGAUGAAAAGUUUCUGAAGGCUUUUGAGGAGUUGAAACUCAAGAUCACCGCGGCACCUAUUAUUGUCACGCCCGAUUGGUCUCUUCCUUUCAAGCUCAUGUGUGACGCCAGUGAUGUGGCUGUUGGAGCGAUGCUAGGUUAACGCCACAACAAGAUUCUUCAUCCGGUGUACUACGCCAGCAAAACUCUCAAUGGAGCACAGGUAAACUACACAGUGACUGGGGAAGAGCUUCUUGCUAUUGUAUAUGAUUUUGAGAAGUUUCGAGCUUAUUUGUUGGGGUCCAAGUUGAUAGUGUAUACGUAUCAUGCGGCUCUUCAUUAUCUUAUAGCAAAGAAAUAUGCAAAGCCUUGGUUGGUACGAUGGGUCUUGUUGUUGUAAGAAUUUUACUUUGAAGUCAAGGAUCGCAAGGGAAUGCAAAAUGAAGUGGCGAAUCGUUUGUCAAGGCUUGAGGAAGCAGGGAGACCACAGGGUGAUCUUGAAAACAAUGAUGGUUUUCCGGAUGAGAAAAUAUUGUCAUUGUCUACAACCUUUGCUCCUUGGUAUGCCGAUAUUGCUAACUAUUUGGUGAGUGACCUUAUCCCUGAUGGUUUGGAAUCAUAUCAAAGGAAAAAUUUCUUGAGAGAUUUCCGGCAAUACUAUUGGUAGGAGCCAUACAUGUUUCGUGUUUGUGCCGACAAUAUUAUCAGAAGAUGAGUUCCCGAAGAAGAGAUGAUGCCAAUUCUCAAGGCAUGCCAUGACUCUCCGAUUGUGGGUCACCAUGGAGGAAAAUGAAUGACGGCGAAAGUUCUUGAAAGUUGAUAUUAUUGGCCGUCCAUCUAAUAUGAUGCCAAUCAAAUGGUCUAGGCUUGUGAUCAUUUUCAACGACAAGGUUCUAAUUCCAAGAGGCAUGAAAUGUCGAUGCACUUUGUGAUGGAAAUAGAGAUCUUUGAUGUGUGGGGGAUUGACUUCAUGGGUCCCUUUGUGAAUUCUUAUGGGAUGAAAUAUAUCUUGGUGUUUGUGGACUACAUGUCCAAAUGGGUUGAAGCCAUUGCUUUGCCAAACAAUGAGGUGAGUAGUGUGACCGCAUUUUUGAAGAAGAACAUUGUCAAUUGGUUUGGCACCCCUAGAGACAUUCUUAAUGAUGGUGAAUCGCACUUCUGCAGCAGAGCUUUUGCGGGGUUACUUGAAAAGUAUGGUGUCAAGCACAAGGUGGACGUACCUUAUCAUCCGUAGUCGAGUGGUCAAGUUGAGGUUUCCAACCCGAAGAUCAAAAAUAUUCUAGCAAAAAAUAUGUACGCAAAUAGGUCCGACUGAUCAAGAAAGCUAGAUGAUGCAUUGUGGGCAUACCGUACGACCUACAAAACUCUUAUUGGUACUUCUACUUACCGGCUCAUAAUUGGUAAAGCAUGUCAUCUACCCGUGGAGUUAGAACACAAAGCCAUGUGGGCAUUGAAGAAGUUGAAUCUUGAAUGGGCUGAGGCAGCAAAUUUGAGGUUGACACAACUCAAUUAACUGGAGGAAUUCUGGUUCCAUGCAUAUGAAAGUGCGGCUGUAUACAAAGAGUGGAUGAAGUUUGUCCAUGACAAAAGAUCUUGAAGAGAGAGUUCAAGGCGGGUGAUUUGGUCUUGCUCUUUAACUCGAGGCUCAAAUUGUUUCCGGGCAAUCUUAAAUCAAAAUGGUCCAGUCCCUUCAAAGUGGUAAAUGUCUCCCCAUAUGGAGUGGUGGAACUAGAAUCAAUAGACGAGUCCUGGACUUUCAAAGUAAAUGGCCGACGCAUCAAACAUUAUUUGGGCAUUGAUGGUGAAAAGCAUUUGGUGGAGCAGCUAGCUCUCAAAAAUGGUCCUUGACCGACCACUGAGUGAAAUUGAAGGAACAUCAACCCCGUCAUGCCGCAACGUUAAAUCAAGUGCUUAGUGGGAGGCAACCCAUGAGAGGUAACACAUUUUCUCUCUCUGCAUUUUUCAUUGUUUUUAUAUUUACAAUAUCUGUUGGAGUACAAAGAUUUUAAAAGAUCUCAACACUUGGUGAAAAUGCAUGAAAAAUACAAUAUCUGUUGGAGUACAAAGAGUUUAAAAGAUCUCAACACUUGGUGAAAAUGCAUGAAAAAGUGAAGGAAAAUCAUAGUGUCAAAAAUGCGGUGGAAAUGCAGUCGCAGAAUUAAUCUGCGGCUUGCAGAUCCACCGUAGAUAUAGUCAGAGAACAGCCAAAAUUGGCAGUUGUAAAUGCGGCAAAAAUGUUCAUUCUACGAUUCACAUGUUGACUCUGCGACUGCAUAUUUGACCGCAUUUGAGGCCUUUCAAAUUCCUUCAUAUCCCACAUCGCCGAACACAUAUGCAAUUGUAUAGUGUGUUAUGUGAUGCUUUGUCCAUCGCAGAUCUCUCCGCAGAUUCGCCAGGUACGUCUCCUAUACACUUCGCUUCAAAACAAAACAAAAAAAAACUAGAAAAGAAGAAAAUGAAAGAAAACAAAACAAAAUGAAAAAUAGAAAAAAGGCAAGGAAGUCUGAUCGAACCCAAGCAAGGACAAUCACCAAACACACCAACAACGCUAUAAUUGACAUUUGUGCAGUGAACCUGGUAUGUGAAUAUCCUCAACUCUUUCAUUCAAAACUCGUGUGCAAAGGUUUGGUCUAAGUUAGUUUGUGUGGUUUAUUUUUGUUAAAUGUGCUCGAUUUUGGGCUAAGCAUGAUGUGGGGAAUGGGAUUGAGCAAAAAUUGGGUAGCCAUUGCAGGAGACUAGAGUUUUCUUCUGAGAAUGAUGAGUUCUGCGGUCCGCAUGUCUGAUAUGCGGACCGGAUUGUGGUCGCAGACCAAAGCCUAGGUCACUUGGAGAAGAUGAAGAUUUGCGGUCAUUCUGCGAUUGCAAAAUUAUUAUGCGCUCCGCAGAAUGUCCGCAUAAUGGACUCCUUGGGCUAAGCAAAAUGGUGAAAAUGCGCUGGAGAAUGGGGUCUCAGAAUUUAUAUGCGGAAUGCAUAUUUACUGUAGAUUGAAACAGAGAACUGAAAAAUUUGAAGUUUAAAAUGUUCAUUUUGCGAUGAUUCUGCAGUACAUAGUUGUUAUACGACCGCAUUAUGCAUCGCAGAUUGACCAACUUGUUGGACAUGCAUGUCUGCAGUGAUUAUGCGGUCCGCAGGGGAAAAGCAACCAACCAUGGAGAAAUGACCAAGGUAAUUCUAAACAAGGAAAUUGGAACAACAACAACAACAACUUUGCAAACCUGAGCUCCAACCCUUAUGUUCCCUCGAAAGGUCAUUAUGGAAAUCAAGGGUCGUCAAGUGAUUCGAAGUUAGAAACCAUGCUUGAGAGAGUUUUGCUAAAUCAAGAAACGUCAGACGUAUCCAUGAGAAACAUGAUUGAGGUGGCUGGAUCUCAUACCGCAUCUAUCCAAAACUUGGAGACGCAAAUGGGAGACGUUUCACGAGAGCAAAACCCAAAGCAAAAAGGGCAAUUUCCUAGUGAUACCAGUGCGAACCCGAAGAGUGGAAGAGGUAGCUCAACCUCUCACGUCAUGGCGAUAACUACUAGAAGGUUCUACAAUGUUACAUUGAUCAAGAGGUUGUGGGGGAAGAAGACGAACAAGAAGUUGAAGCCGAAGAGCAAAUGGUUGUAGAAGUUUAGAGGGUACGGGAAAAUGAAAAAGUUCAAGAAGUGGUCAAAAAAGUGUUGAAGAAAAAGGAAAAAGAGAAGGAUACAUCAAAAACUCCAGCUCUUAUUCCUAGACCUGCUCCACCGUUUCCUUAAAGACUUGUAAGAAGUAUUGAAGAUAGCAAGCUUGAAAAAUUUUAUGAUAUCCUUAAGCAAUUGUCGAUGAACACUCCAUUCUUGGAGGCUUUCCAAGCAAUUCUAGGGUUUCCCAAAUAUUUGAAGGAGUUUAUCACCAAUAUGAGAACCACAAAGCAUGAGGUGGUGAACAUGACUCACCGGGUUAGCUCUAUCAUUUCCAAGAGCCCUACCCAAAAGAAAGAGGACCCGGGACCAUUUACCAUUCGAUGCACUAUCGGAGAGUGAGACUUUGCUAGAGCAUGCCAGGUUUUCGAUGCAGUAUAGUCUCUAAGCUUCCUCCACCAACUACCAUAAAGGGUGUUAGAAGUUUUCAAGCGCAUGCCAGGUUUUACUGGCGCUUCAUCAAAGACUUCUCAAAGAUCGCUAACCCCUUGUGAAAGGUCCUCGAUAAGGAUGCUAAAUUUGUAUUUGAUGAAAAGUUUCUUAAGGCUGUUGAGGAGUUGAAACUCAAGAUCACCACGACACCUAUUAUUGUCACGCCCGAUUGGUCUCUUCCUUUCGAGCUCAUGUGUAACGCAAGUGGUAAGGCUAUUGGAAAGAUGCUAAGUCAACGCCACGACAAGAUUCUUCAUCCGGUGUACUACACCAGCAAAACUCUCAAUGGAGCACAGGUAAAGUUCACAGUGACUGAGGAAGAGCUUCUGGCUAUUGUAUAUGAUUUUGAGAAGUUUCGAGCUUAUUUGUCGGGGUCCAAGGUGAUAAUGUAUACGAAUCAAGCGGCUUGUCGUUAUCUUAUGGCAAAGAAAUAUGCAAAUCCUUGGUUGAUACGAUGGGUCUUGCUGUUGUAAGAAUUUGACUUUGAAUUCAACGAUCGCAUGGGAACGCAAAAUCAAGUGGCGGAUCAUAUUCCAAGGCUUGAGGAAGUAGGGAUACCACAGGGUGAUCUUGAAAUCAAUGAUGCUUUUCCAGAUGAGCAAAUAUUGGCAUUGUCUAGCACCUUUGCUCCUUGGUAUGACGAUAUUGCUAACUAUUUGGUGAGUGGCCUUAUCCCUGAUAGUGUAGAAUCAUAUCAAAGGAAAAAGUUCUUGAUAUAUUGCCGGCAAUACUAUUGGGAGGAUCCAUACUUUUUUUGUGUUUGUGACGAGAAUUUUAUCAGAAGAUGAGUUCCUAAAGAAGAUAUGAUGUCAAUUCUCAAGGCAUGCCAUGACUCUCCGGUUGGGGGUCAUCAUGGAGGAAAUUGAACGGCGUUGAAAGUUCUUGAAUUUGGAUAUUAUUGGUUAUCCAUCUACCAUGAUUUCAAUCAAAUGGUCAAGGAUUGUGAUCAAUGUCAACGACAAGGUUCUAUUUCUAAGAGGCAUGAAAUAUCGAUGUAGUUUGUGAGGGAGAUAGAGAUCUUUGAUGUGUGGGGGAUCCACUUCAUAGGUCCCUUUGUGAGCCCUUAUGGGAUGAAAUAUAUCUUGGUGGUUUAUGAUUACGUGUCAAAAUGGGUUGAAGUCCUUGCCUUACAAAAUAAUGAGGUGAGUAGUGUGAACACAUUUUUGAAGAAGAACAUAUUCACUUGGUUUGGCACCCCUAGAGCCAUUCUUAGUGAUGGUGGAUCGCACUUCUGCAAUAGAGUUUUUGCGCGGUUACUUGAAAAGUAUGGUGUGAAGCACAAGGUGGCCAUACCUUAUCAUCCGCAGUCGAGUAGUCAAGUUGAGGUUUCCAACCAAGAGAUCAAAAAUAUUCUAGCAAAAACAGUGAACGCAAAUAGGACUGACUGGUCAAGAAAGCUAGAUGAUGCAUUGUGGGCAUACUGUGCGGUUAACAAAACUGCUAUUGGUACUUUUCCUUACCGGUGCAUCUUUGGUAAAGCAUGUCAUCAACCCGUGGAGUUAGAGCACAAAGCCAUGUGGGCAUUGAAGAAGUUUAAUCUGGAAUGGGCUGAGGCUACAAAUUUGAGGUUGACACAACUCAAUUAACUGAGGAAUUCCAGUUCCAUGCAUAUGAAAGUGCAGCUGUGUACCAAGAGCAGAUGAAGUUUGUCCAUGUCAAAAAUAUCUUGAAGAGAGAGUUCAAGACGGGUGAUUUGGUCUGAUCCCUUCAAAGUGGUAAAUGUCUCCUCGUUUGGAGCGGUGGAACUAGAAUCAACAGAAGGGUCCUGUACAUUCAAAGUAAAUGGCCAACACAUCAAGCAUUAUAUGGGCAUUGAUGCUCAGAAGCAUUUGGUGGAGCAGCUGGCUCUCAAAAUGGUCCUUGCCCGACCACUGAGUGAAUUUGAAGGAACAUCAAUCUCGUCAUGCCGUGACGUUAAAUCAAGCGCUUCAUGGGAGGCAACCCAUGGGUGGUAACACAUAUUUUCUCUUUGCAUUUUUUAUUUUUUUUAUGUUUACAAUAUCUGUUGGAGUGCAGAGAGUUCAAAAUAUCUCAACAGUUGGUGAAAAUGCAUGAAAACGUGAAGGAAAGCAUAGUGUGAAAAAUGCAGCGAAAAUGCGGUUGUAGAAUUGAUCAAUGGCCCGCUGAUCCACCGCAGACGUAGUCAGAAAAGAGCCAAAAUUGGCAGUUGGAAAUGCGAUAAAAAUUUCAUUCUACGAUUCGCAUGUUGACUCUGCGAACGCAGAUUUGACCGCAUUUGAGGCCUUCUAAAUUCCUUAAUAUCCCACAUCGCAGAACACAUAUGCAAUCGCAUAGCGUGCUAUGCGAUGCUUUGUCCACCGCAAAUUUUCCAGGUACGUCUCCUAUUCACUUCGCUUCAAAACAAAACAAAAAAAACUAUAAAAGAAGAAAACGAAAGAAAACAAAACAAAAUGAAAAAAUAGAAAAAAAGGCAAGGAUGUCUGAUCGAACCCAAGCAAAGACAAUCACCAAACUCACCAACAACUCUCUAAUUGACAUUUGUGCACAAUGGUUUGGUCUAAGUUAGUUUGUAUGCUUGAUUUUUGUUAAAUAUGGUCAAUUCUGGGCUAAGCAUGAUGUGAGGAAUGGGAUUGAGCAAAAAUAGGGUAGCCUGUAGGAUACUAGAGUUUUCUGCUUAGAAUGAUGACUUCUGGGGUCCGCAUGUCUGAUAUGUAGACCGCAUUCUGGUCGUAGACCUAACCCUAGGUCACCUGGAGAAGAUAAAGAUCUACGGCCAUUCUGCGAUCAAAACAUUUUUAUGUGGUCCGCAGAAUGACCGCAUAAUCGACUCCUUUAUUGGCUAAGCAAAAUGGUGAAAAUGCGGUGGAGAAUAAGGUCUGAGAAUUGAUCUCAUAUCUACUGCAGAUUGAAAUAGAGAAUUGAAACUUUUGAAGUUUAAAAUGUUCAUUCUGCGAUGAUUGUGCAGUCCGCAUAGUGGUUGCGCGAAUCGCAGAUUGAACAACUUGUUGGACAUGCAUGUCUGCAGUGAUUAUGCGGUCCGCAGAGUGGUUUUGCGGCCGCAGAAUAGACAACAUUUUGAACUUUUCUUUUUAAAUUCAUCUGUUUCUUCUCUCAAGGUCUUGACAUUGUUAUUCCACCCUUGUGCAGAUAUGUCUCCCCGAUAGAAACGAGCAGCGACUAAGCCUCCAAAGGCAAAGAGACAGAAAGGUGAACCCGCGCAACAACAACCCUCUUAGUCUAACGAGGAGGGGCUUUGCCUUGAGGUUGAUAUAACGGCUGAAGCCACGCGAAAGCAACAAGCUGAAGGUGCUAAAUAUCCUCUCCGCUGGGGAGUCGAGGGUUCUAGAUAGAGGUACAAAGAAGGGCUUCUCAGGAGAUAACUCCUACCCGAGAGGCAAUUUAGCCUGAAUGGGUUAAAGGAGAAGUACCCCCACAUCCUUGCUAACAUCAAGCGUAGGAAAUGGUUUGAUUUCACUAAGCCGCCCGCUGAGUACAAUGAAUCAAUGGUGCAUGAGUUCUACGCAUCUUACGGGGCAUCUAGACUAAGCACCAUAAGCACCAUUGGAUGUAUCUAGAACAAGUGGAAGUUCGGGGAUUCACAGUCAAAUGCAGUGCUAAAGCAAUAAACAAAUUACUUGUUCCUGUCUUUGAAGAGAGCACAGCAGGCACAAAAGAAUAUGAUGCCAAGUUAGCGAACAAAGAGGAUGAGCGUGGGUGGAUUGCCUCAGUCAUUGCCAAUGGGACACCUACAUGGAUAAACCUCGGGACCAAGAUAUACAAAGAGAACUUCUCACAUGAGGGAUGCUUUUGUCUUACCUUCCUCACAUCCAGAUUGAUCCCUACUCAGAACGAAAUAGAGAUUGCCAUUGUGAAGGUCCUCUUGAUAGCCUGCAUCGUGCAAGGCAUCAGAUAGAUGUAGGGUCGAUUAUUUUUCGGGAGAUGAGUAAAAGAGCCAUGCAAGAGGCUACAUCUCUUCCAUUCCCAUCAUUGAUCGCUGCACUGUGCCAAUCUGAAAAUAUCCUGGUGGAUGAACGGAAAGCUAAAAAGGCUAGGCAGUCGGGGAUUAUUGACAUCAACCAUCUAGGUGACGCUGGGUGCCUCCAGUAGUGAUAUUCAGGAGGAUCACCCUUCACACUAUACGUCUCAGACUCUUCCGACCAAUGAUGUAGAGUCAUCCACUCCUCGGUCUGUAUCUCAGUCUACUCCUACUCAGCCUGCCCGUGCUCAGGCUCCCCUAGCUACCCCAUUUGUCUCCAAGAUUGUUCUAUUUGCCCAACAUGCAGAGGCCAAAGUGGACCAAUUUUUGAAGAUAUUUCCAAACAUGAUAAAGCAAGCCUUGACUCCAAUGCAAGCGGUCGUGGCAGAUAUUCAGCAGAAGCAGUAAGCCUAUGCGGAGCAUUUGAAUGGAAUUGAGUUGCGGGGGGAGAAAGUAGAGAGAGGUGGGGACAAUGCAUCACUUUCAGUAAGGGGUGGGCAGGUAGCAUUGUAUGACUUUUUUGUUGUGAAUAUAGCUGGAAACUCAUGUACUUAAGCGUAUCAUGUAUUUGUGUACAUUGGUAUAACUUUGGUAUAUGAGUGAUGUUAUGCUGUUGUUUUUUAUUUCUGUUGUUGAAUUCGUGUUUGUUAAUAUCAGUUUGUGAAUCAAUUACCCUUGGUUUUUCUUUUUCUGGUUCUUAUCCAAGGGUGUAAUAGUAGAAUCAGGAUCUUAGGUGUAACUCAUUGUGACCGACUUGGUGUAAUUGCCUAGUAUCGAGCAUGUGUAUUUGGACAUAGCACAUACCCUCUUAUAGUCAUUCUUGUCAACUUUUCCCACUGAUAGAUAGACUGAUGACUGUCAUAAGGGAAUUUGUCUCUAUGAUCAAUUCUGUGAAUCUGAGGCUCGCUCUAUGACUUUAUGGCAACCCAGAGUUAUACUUGUGUUUAUGAUGAAUGCUUUGAAUUGCAGAAUGGUUACCCAAAAGUGUCAAAUCAUGUGAAUGAAACAUUUCAUGCACCAUGUGUUUGAGUUCUCUGUUUGUAUAUAAUUCUUGUGUUUCCUUCUGUCAUCUAGAACUUGGCCAGUUAGUCUUUCUAUGCAAAUGAUAGUAUGUUUGGUUGGAGGAAGGUUCUUAGGCAUUUGUUGUGAUUAUGUGCAAAACCUCUUUAGCUUUGAAUCCUACCCGUGCAUAAAGGAUACCACUAGCACCCAAUUUGAGCCUUUUAACCUUUCUUUGGCCAACUCAUUACAAACCUUUCCCAUUUUGAAAAGAAAUUUCCUCUCUUGAACCCAUCGCUCUUUGAACAUUGAGAAUGAGGCUAGAAGCCUAAGUUGGGGGUAAGGUCAAAGUGGAAGAUCGUUAAGGUUGUAUGUGAGUUUAGGGCAACAUGCCUCAAAAUAGUUUGUGAAAUUGUUCAAGCUCCAAAAAACAAAUGAUAACCAAAAGCAAGAGAAGAAAAAGAGAAAGAAAAUAAAAAUCUAAUAAUGCAUAUGUUUACAAAAUUGGGAGUCUUGAACAUUAAUGAAAAGGUAUGUAAGGUAGCUCUAUACAUGAGGCUAGACGAAAACAAAGAUAUGGGGGUUUGGAAGGGAGUGCAAAAAAAUGGUAAAAUGUGGUUAGUGUUCAAAGAGGGUGAAGUCACUUGUACCCAAAUGUUUAUCCAACCCAUCCCUGAACCUCCAUAACAAAGCUCCAAAAAAAAUGAUGAUCAAAAGCAAGAGAAGAGAAAGAAAAAGAAAAGAAAAUAUAAUAAUGCUUAUAUUUACAAAAUUAUGAGUCUUGAAGAACAAUGAAAAGGGAUGUAACAUAGCUCUAUACUGGAGGCUAGACGAAAACAAAGAUAUGGGGGUUUAAAAAGGAGUGCAAAAGAAUGGUAAAAUGUUAUUAGCGUUCAGAGAGGGUGAAGUCACUUGUACCGAAAUGUUUAUCCAACCCAUCCUUGAACCUACAUUACAAGCCAAAAAGCCCUUAUGAGACCUCCAACCGAACAUUCUUGAAUAAGUGGCAAAUUAUAAUAAGGAAAGCCUGUGGUAAGACAUGUUGCAGCACUUGUAGUUCUUUCUGAGAGUGAGUGUUUUUAUAUGAUCCUGCUUUGUUGUCCUUGUAAAUAUUGUGUUUUCUUGGACUUUCUUUCUGGUAAGGGUAUAUGAACUGUGGAAUUGAACUGAAGUUGAGCUUUUUGAGUCAAAUGGAAGUGCGCACAGCUGAGGGUAACAUCUAGUCACAAUGUUGAGGCUCAGAGUUCACAAUGAUUGAUUAGUUUUAUCUGUACAUACUUCUAAUCUAGGAAGGGUGAAGCAAUUGUAAAUGCAUUCUUUAAUUACUAGCAAUGAACACCACCCUUAGUCACUAUUGUUUUGUAUUUGUAAAUAGAGUUUAAAAUAGGCUAUGUAUGUAUCACUUGGUUGAGAACAAGCAAGAGUUUAAGUUGAGGGUGUUGAUAUGCCGAAGAAUUUCGGCAUAUUUCAAUAUUAUUUGCUUAGAUUAUAGCUUGUUUUAAUGCAAUUAUAACUUAUACUCAUAUAGAUUUGUUGUUCGUACAGCACAAGAGGAAGGGAAGACCAAUGAUAUGAAAAUGGAAGCAAAAAGAGAAUAAAAGAGCAUAAUAUUGCAUAAGUGCAAACCUGCGUCCCAUUCUGCGGUCGCAGAUCACACAUGCGGACCGCAGAAUUGUAUCUCAAAUUGCCAAACAUUACAGAGUCUGGAGCUAAAAACCAUGUCGAGAAUGCGGCGCAAUAUGCGAUCGCAGAAUCAACAUGUAGAUCGCAGAUGUGCCGUAGAACGAACAAGAAGAAAACUCAGGGUCAAAAAUGCGGUGCAAUCUGCGGUCACAUAAUUCAAAUGCGAAUCGCAGAAUGGAACUGCGAUGAAGGCCUGACAACUAGGGUUUUGGAUCUGCAGAGAGGCUAUUCAAAAUGCAGACCGCAGACCUAUUAUGCGACAAGCCUGCGAUCGCAAACGUGACUGAAAGGGCAAACUUGUCCAUUUUCUGUCGUGAAAUUGGUCCCACUGUAAAUAGCUUUAAGAGACCUUUGUGGGAUCAUCUUGUCUGACUUUUAAGCUACAUUCUAUCACAUUAAUAUUCUCUCUUUUUGGAAGCUUUUGGGUGAAGAUUCCCUCCAUUGUAAGCAUUUAUGACAUUUAUUAUUAGUUGGUUUUUGUGUUUUAGCAUGUGUAGCUAGUUUUAAAUACUAAGGUUGUGCACCCUAAAUGAGUGUUAUGUUAAUGGGUGUUUAACAUUGAAUAUAUA
Molecule: long non-coding RNA, 15438 nt
Filed under: Nicotiana benthamiana
Lineage: Eukaryota; Viridiplantae; Streptophyta; Magnoliopsida; Solanales; Solanaceae
Description: long non-coding RNA (NBEN_LNC014583)
Source: RNAcentral